UUAGCAAUGGCACUCAACAGU
This 21-nucleotide non-coding RNA is filed under the name Arabidopsis thaliana (thale cress). The record is from RNAcentral. Lineage: Eukaryota; Viridiplantae; Streptophyta; Magnoliopsida; Brassicales; Brassicaceae.